UUACUUUAAUUCUUAGCACGAAUUCUUCCAAACAAAAUUAAAAUAUAUCCCAUAAAUACUUCCAACCAAUCAUAAAUUCAUAAUAGCUUAAACAUCCAAAAUUAACUUAAAAGAAUUCCAACAAAUAAAGAUUUAUCAAAACUAGAGCCGAAAUUUAUAAAAAUAAAUAGGGUAAAUUACAAUUGCCCCCUGAGUUAAGGUUUAUUUACAAAAAAUCCCUUUAUUUUUCCAUAAUUACAUCCACCCUUGCAAUUUGUAAAUUUCUUACAUUAACACCCUUUUGUAGGGGGUGGAUGUAAGAAAUUUACAAACAGCAAGGACUGGAUGUAUAUACAAAAUAAGGGGUUGUUUUGUAAUUAAACUUUAUAUCAGGGAGGUAGUUGCAAUUUACCGAAUAAGAAGAUAUUGUAGAUAAAUAAUUAAUCAGCAAUGGUGGUGAUGGUGGUGGUGGUGGUCCAAUCCAAAGCAGUGCAAAACAGGAUAACAAGCAGCAGAAAUGCAGCGCCCAAUCAUUCCAAAAAUAGAAGCGAUUAAUAAACAAGGGCAGCAUAAACACGCCGCCACCGGAUUAUCGUACCGACUAUCGCAGUCGUGGUGGUGGUGGUGGCGGCCCAUUUUAUUACACCUAAAAUAUCAAACACACACAAAAAAAAAAAAAAAAAUCAGAAUGAAUUUUUAAUUACGAUUAUUGUAAAUAAUACAUGCGCACUAUUAAAUAAUCUCGAUAAAUAAAAUUACCUUUUUAUGAAGUAAGGAACUUGUCCUGUUGAAUAUUUGGAGAUCUGAACUAGAAGAAAAAAACAGGGGAUCUCUGUGUGUGUGUGCGCGUGUGUGUG
This 836-nucleotide long non-coding RNA is filed under the name Erythranthe guttata (spotted monkey flower). RNAcentral's name for it is "long non-coding RNA (EGUT_LNC001328)". The record is from RNAcentral. Lineage: Eukaryota; Viridiplantae; Streptophyta; Magnoliopsida; Lamiales; Phrymaceae.